RNAcentral lists this unclassified non-coding RNA (586 nucleotides) under Hevea brasiliensis (rubber tree). The record is from RNAcentral. Lineage: Eukaryota; Viridiplantae; Streptophyta; Magnoliopsida; Malpighiales; Euphorbiaceae.
AUUGUUAUCACUUUGAGUACCACCUGAAAUGGAAUCAAGUGCUAAUAAGUCAUAAUCCGAGACAACUCCAACCAAAUUCCAAUCAUCAUCGACAACAGGAAAACCAGUUAUUCUCUUUUCCACCAGGACCUCUAAUGCUUCAUCAACUGUUGUUGUAGGUUUAACAACAUAAAGGUUCUCCUUUCUCGUCAUAAAAUCACCAACCGUAUAUGUUCCUCUGAUCGGAAAGGAAUCAACGACGCCAGCUCCAGAAGAAGCAAGAACCAAAGGCGAGGGAGGUCGAGCGGAGUAUCGGUCGGUGAUCCCAAACCGCUGUAGCUUAGAAAGAGAAUUGGAUGAAAAAAGAGGGCGUGGACACCGUCGGUAGCGCUGAGAGUGAGGAAGAUGAUGAGGAUAAGCCCGCGCGAGAGCAUGUGAAUUGGAGAGAGAGAUGGAGCUCAUUUUGCUGGCUGCUUCAGGAGUAACGGAGAAAUUCAGAAAUGGAAAAAAACGAAUACAGUAAUCUGGAAAGAGAAGAGUUGGAAGAAUCAAUGACUGAUCUACCGAACGGAAGAGAAUUACAACCGGAAAAUUUUCAGAAUCAAAG